RNAcentral lists this ribosomal RNA (239 nucleotides) under uncultured bacterium. Its description in RNAcentral is "partial 16S ribosomal RNA". It matches the Rfam family "Bacterial small subunit ribosomal RNA", at positions 96 to 334 of the family's 1533-position model. The record is from RNAcentral.
CGGCGGACGGGUGAGUAACGCGUGGGUAACCUGCCUCAUACAGGGGAGUAACAGUUAGAAAUAGGCUGCUAAUACCGCAUAAGACCACGGUACUGCAUGGUACAGUGGUAAAAACUCCGGUGGUAUGAGAUGGCCCCGCGUCUGAUUAGGUAGUUGGUGAGGUAACGGCCCACCAAGCCGACGAUCAGUAGCCGACCUGAGAGGGUGACCGGCCACAUUGGGACUGAGACACGGCCCAG